Long non-coding RNA from Felis catus (domestic cat), 374 nucleotides. RefSeq lists it as uncharacterized. NCBI's taxonomy places the organism in Eukaryota, Metazoa, Chordata, Mammalia, Carnivora, Felidae. The transcript has 2 exons. The record is from RefSeq and is a predicted model, not a curated record.
UCUUAUUUGCUGGGUGCUGAUCUGUCUGCAGCUCUCAGAGGUGGCGGCGGCCGCUGCUUUCAUUUCGGGGCUGCCAUAGCCAGAGCCGCCUGCCGCCGGCCGCCCACAUGCUCUGCUCCAGCCAGGUGUGAUCACGUGUUUGCAGUUACCUACCGACAAACUUUGAUGGAAUGAGAGUCAGGAAGCUAUUUUCCUCCUUGUUCGGACCCUGCUACCAUGACCUUGGACAAGUUACUUUCUACUACAUGAGGAAAACUGCUUCUUGUCACCAGACUGUCUCAUCUCCCAGGGCAGGCCAGCCUUUGAGUUUCCAUAUUACUGGGAGAGACCCUGGCUCAGAGAAAGAACACUGCAUAAUAAAUUAUGGGAUGUCA